UCAGAAUGGAGGGAAAAAAGAUGUGAUCUCAGUGACUUUGACCCUGGCAUGAUUGUUGGUGCCAGACAAGCUGGUUUGAGUGUUUCUGAAACUGCUGAUCUCGUGGGAUUCUCCACAGCAGUCCACAACAGUCUCUAGAGUUUUUACUCAGGAUGAAGCAAAAAACAGAAAACAUCCAGUGAGCAGCAGUUCAUGUUGAUGAGAGAAUGGCCAGACUGGUUGGAGCUGACAGACAGGCUGCAGUAACUCAGAUAACCACUCUUUACUACUGUGGUGAACAGGAAAGAAGCCUGCUGUAGUUCCUCCACCCUUCAGGUGGCAGCAGCUGAAGACCACGUCGGCUUCCAAUCCUGUCAGCCAAGAACAGAAAUUUGAGGCUGCAGUGGACACUGGCUCACCAAAAGUGGAGAGUUCAGGACUGGAAAAAUGUAGCCUGGUCUGAUGAAUCUGGAUUUCUGCUGAGGCAGCAGGUGGUCGGGUCAGAAUUUGGCAACAACAGCAUGAAUCCAUGGACUCAACCUGCCUCGUGUCAGCAGUCCAGAUUAAUUGAAGGAGUACGAGGAGGAGGAUGGGAAGAGGAUGAGAGAAGGAGGAAAGGAUUACAGUGUGAGCUGCAAACGAAUUUCAUUUCUUAAGUGAAAAUGUUACUGCUCCUCCCAACCACACCCCUGCUCAACAGAUCAGAGAAACAGGCCGACAGUUCCAGUUGCAACAAUGAUCGUCCUGUGUUGCCAGCAUCUAAUCCUGAAUAACAUCUGGACUGUGUCCUGCUUACAUAACUUCCUGCAGGAGUUCUUAGGCACCACCCUCUUCCUGUCCGCUAGCAUAUCAGAAUGUCCAGAUGCUGCUAGCAGCUGGAAGACCAGGACCGAAUCUGAAGUCUGCAAUCAACCAGAGCAACCUCUGCUCUAGACUUAGCUGGACUCGUACCACAAGUCAUACCUAGAAAUUCACAUACUUGAAGCCAUCAUUUUAUAUUUGUUUUAUGUACAAACUUCACUUUUAAAAAAAUCUAAGUAAGCAGGGAGACAGCUGUUCCCUAUGUCUGUCCCUCUGCCUCUCUCAGGUGAGUGCGACAUGUUGUGGGAUGAACCCGACUUGGUCAUUCGGUCCAGCUUUCUCCCACACACAGCGUCACCCUCAGGCUGAACUCUUAUCGUUGGUUUUUCUGCAGGUGUACAGGGCAGGGCCUGGUCUGGAGGCACGUCUCGCCGCUCUCCUGAACAACCUGUUACUAUGGCGAGGGUAACCCUGGAGAUUGAUGGUGCCUGUAAAGACGUGACAGGAAACGAGGGAGAGAGAUGCAACAAAGGUCUCCAUCCAGGCCUGAACCUGUACACUGUGGUCUACAGGCGGCAUCCUAACCCCCAAGCCACGGGGUUGCUGUAUAUGGACUAGUGAUGACGAAAAAAAAAGGACAAAUCCUCUUUACAGAUUAUUUUUCCAGUUUGAUAUGUCUCAGGCCGGACAGUGAGACUACUUCUAUUGUCAUUAGUGUUGAUAAUUGUUUUUAUAUUGAUCUAAAUAUUUAUAUUGCCUUUAUUUCUUGCUUCUGCUGCAGUCAUGAUACAGCAAACACACGGCAAAGUCUAUUUUUGUUGUUUAAUAAUAAAACAUUAAACACCAGUAGCAUUAACACAA
This is a long non-coding RNA of Xiphias gladius (swordfish), 1641 nucleotides long. RefSeq lists it as uncharacterized. The transcript has 5 exons. NCBI's taxonomy places the organism in Eukaryota, Metazoa, Chordata, Actinopteri, Istiophoriformes, Xiphiidae. The record is from RefSeq and is a predicted model, not a curated record.